Molecule: long non-coding RNA, 555 nt
Organism: Neofelis nebulosa (Clouded leopard)
Lineage: Eukaryota; Metazoa; Chordata; Mammalia; Carnivora; Felidae
Exons: 2
Source: RefSeq, a predicted model, not a curated record
CCAAGGGAUCUGUGUUUUAUUCAAUAUUUGACCAAAUUCCUAGAACAGUCCCUGGCACAUAGUAGGUGAUCAGUUAAUAUAUAUUGCUGUUGUUAAAAUGAGAAAAUUGUGGAGGGUUUAACACACGUUUUGUGCUACCAGCAUGGAGAAAGAGCAUGAGAAGUUCAUAUGAAAAGGCAGGAGAAUCUUUGCUCGCUUUGACAUCACUACAUCCCAUUCUGGAAUUUUCCCCAAGGAAAAUAAUUUUUUUAAGAGCAUUUAUUCGAACACCAGUGCUAUCAAGAAGGACAUUGUAGAGUCUGAGAAAGAGAAAUCCUCCAAACUGGAAGGGUCCCUGUGGUUGUGAGGGAAGGAAAUACAGCAAUGCAUACCAGUGUGGACCUUGGGAGCUAAGUGCAGUUGGAAACAUGAUGCUUCAGCAGAUUGUAUGGAAAGAUGCUAAAGACCAAGGACCAAUGAAAUGAUAAGUUCCAUGACAAAGGACCACACCUCACCCUGUACUUCCCUACUCCUGGCAUAUUUAAUACCAUAUUAAACUUAAUAUGAGAGGACAUA